Molecule: ribosomal RNA, 2357 nt
Filed under: Providencia stuartii
Lineage: Bacteria; Pseudomonadati; Pseudomonadota; Gammaproteobacteria; Enterobacterales; Morganellaceae
Description: partial 23S ribosomal RNA
Rfam family: Bacterial large subunit ribosomal RNA
Source: RNAcentral
GGGUGACUGCGUACCUUUUGUAUAAUGGGUCAGCGACUUAUAUUCUGUAGCAAGGUUAACCGAAUAGGGGAGCCGUAGGGAAACCGAGUCUUAACUGGGCGAAUGAGUUGCAGGGUAUAGACCCGAAACCCGGUGAUCUAGCCAUGGGCAGGUUGAAGGUUGGGUAACACUAACUGGAGGACCGAACCGACUAAUGUUGAAAAAUUAGCGGAUGACUUGUGGCUGGGGGUGAAAGGCCAAUCAAACCGGGAGAUAGCUGGUUCUCCCCGAAAGCUAUUUAGGUAGCGCCUCGUGAACUCAUCUUCGGGGGUAGAGCACUGUUUCGGCUAGGGGGUCAUCCCGACUUACCAACCCGAUGCAAACUACGAAUACCGAAGAAUGUUAUCACGGGAGACACACGGCGGGUGCUAACGUUCGUCGUGAAGAGGGAAACAACCCAGACCGCCAGCUAAGGUCCCAAAGUCAUGGUUAAGUGGGAAACGAAGUGGGAAGGCUCAGACAGCCAGGAUGUUGGCUUAGAAGCAGCCAUCAUUUAAAGAAAGCGUAAUAGCUCACUGGUCGAGUCGGCCUGCGCGGAAGAUGUAACGGGGCUAAACCAUGCACCGAAGCUGCGGCAGCGACAUGUAAAUGUUGUUGGGUAGGGGAGCGUUCUGUAAGCCUGUGAAGGUGUGCUGCGAGGCAUGCUGGAGGUAUCAGAAGUGCGAAUGCUGACAUAAGUAACGAUAAUGCGGGUGAAAAACCCGCACGCCGGAAGACCAAGGGUUCCUGUCCAACGUUAAUCGGGGCAGGGUGAGUCGACCCCUAAGGCGAGGCAGAAAUGCGUAGUCGAUGGGAAACAGGUUAAUAUUCCUGUACUGGUGAUAAUUGCGAUGGGGGGACGGAGAAGGCUAGGCUGGCCGGGCGACGGUUGUCCCGGUUUAAGGAUGUAGGUGGGCGAAUUAGGCAAAUCCGGUUCGCUAUACACUGAGGUCUGAUGACGAGUCACUACGGUGGCGAAGUAGCUCAUGCCCCGCUUCCAGGAAAAGCCUCUAAGCUCUAGAUUAUCAUUAAUCGUACCCCAAACCGACACAGGUGGUCAGGUAGAGAAUACUCAGGCGCUUGAGAGAACUCGGGUGAAGGAACUAGGCAAAAUGGUGCCGUAACUUCGGGAGAAGGCACGCUGGCAUUAGGUGAAGUGGUUUACCCAUGGAGCUGAAGCCAGUCGCAGAUACCAGCUGGCUGCAACUGUUUAUUAAAAACACAGCACUGUGCAAACACGAAAGUGGACGUAUACGGUGUGACGCCUGCCCGGUGCUGGAAGGUUAAUUGAUGGGGUUAUCCGUAAGGAGAAGCUCUUGAUCGAAGCCCCAGUAAACGGCGGCCGUAACUAUAACGGUCCUAAGGUAGCGAAAUUCCUUGUCGGGUAAGUUCCGACCUGCACGAAUGGCGUAAUGAUGGCCAGGCUGUCUCCACCCGAGACUCAGUGAAAUUGAACUCGCUGUGAAGAUGCAGUGUACCCGCGGCAAGACGGAAAGACCCCGUGAACCUUUACUAUAGCUUGACACUGAACAUUGAGCCUUGAUGUGUAGGAUAGGUGGGAGGCUUUGAAGUGUGGACGCCAGUCUGCAUGGAGCCAACCUUGAAAUACCACCCUUUAAUGUUUGAUGUUCUAACGUAGCCCCAUAAUCUGGGGUGCGGACAGUGUCUGGUGGGUAGUUUGACUGGGGCGGUCUCCUCCCAAAGCGUAACGGAGGAGCACGAAGGUUGGCUAAGCAUGGUCGGACAUCAUGCGGUUAGUGCAAAGGCAUAAGCCAGCUUGACUGCGAGAGUGACGGCUCGAGCAGGUACGAAAGUAGGUCUUAGUGAUCCGGUGGUUCUGAAUGGAAGGGCCAUCGCUCAACGGAUAAAAGGUACUCCGGGGAUAACAGGCUGAUACCGCCCAAGAGUUCAUAUCGACGGCGGUGUUUGGCACCUCGAUGUCGGCUCAUCACAUCCUGGGGCUGAAGUAGGUCCCAAGGGUAUGGCUGUUCGCCAUUUAAAGUGGUACGCGAGCUGGGUUUAGAACGUCGUGAGACAGUUCGGUCCCUAUCUGCCGUGGGCGUUGGAAGAUUGAAAGGGGCUGCUCCUAGUACGAGAGGACCGGAGUGGACGCACCGCUGGUGUUCGGGUUGUCAUGCCAAUGGCACUGCCCGGUAGCUAAGUGCGGAAGAGAUAACCGCUGAAAGCAUCUAAGCGGGAAACUUGCCUUGAGAUGAGUCUUCCCUGACUCUUUAAGGGUCCUAAAGGAACGUUUAAGACGAAGACGUUGAUAGGCUGGGUGUGUAAGCGUAGCGAUACGUUGAGCUAACCAGUACUAAUGAACCGUGAGGCUUAACCUG